GGUUCUAUGGUGUAGUGGUAGCACUUUGGAUUCUGAUUCCAACAACCUGGGUUCGAUCCCCAGUAGGACCU
Xylona heveae TC161 is the source of this 71-nucleotide transfer RNA. It matches the Rfam family "tRNA". From Rfam's summary of the family: Transfer RNA (tRNA) molecules are approximately 80 nucleotides in length. Their secondary structure includes four short double-helical elements and three loops (D, anti-codon, and T loops). Lineage: Eukaryota; Fungi; Ascomycota; Xylonomycetes; Xylonales; Xylonaceae. The record is from Rfam.